GGAUGAGCUGAUGGAGCAGGUGAGGGGGUUGGUGGUGCGGCGUCAGAGGCGUGCGGCGCGGUGGCAGAGCUAGGAACCCCUAGGUGCGGCGCACCUAGGGUUUGACAUUGUUUCUGAUUUGUUUUCUCUUUUUGGGCUAGGGUUAGGUUAUUGGGCCUGUAGGUUGUGGGUUAGUGUUUAGGUGGGUUGGUUUGUAAAAAAUUAGGUUUUGGGCCGGGCAAAAAUGGGUUAGUGACAGAAGGUAUUCAAAAUAUCA
Molecule: long non-coding RNA, 256 nt
Filed under: Gossypium raimondii (Peruvian cotton)
Lineage: Eukaryota; Viridiplantae; Streptophyta; Magnoliopsida; Malvales; Malvaceae
Description: long non-coding RNA (GRAI_LNC003022)
Source: RNAcentral